GACGAACGCUGGCGGCGUGCCUAAUACAUGCAAGUUGAGCGCUGAAGGUUGGUACUUGUACCAACUGGAUGAGCAGCGAACGGGUGAGUAACGCGUGGGGAAUCUGCCUUUGAGCGGGGGACAACAUUUGGAAACGAAUGCUAAUACCGCAUAAAAACUUUAAACACAAGUUUUAAGUUUGAAAGAUGCAAUUGCAUCACUCAAAGAUGAUCCCGCGUUGUAUUAGCUAGUUGGUGAGGUAAAGGCUCACCAAGGCGAUGAUACAUAGCCGACCUGAGAGGGUGAUCGGCCACAUUGGGACUGAGACACGGCCCAAACUCCUACGGGAGGCAGCAGUAGGGAAUCUUCGGCAAUGGACGAAAGUCUGACCGAGCAACGCCGCGUGAGUGAAGAAGGUUUUCGGAUCGUAAGACUCUGUUGGUAGAGAAGAACGUUGGUGAGAGUGGAAAGCUCAUCAAGUGACGGUAACUACCCAGAAAGGGACGGCUAACUACGUG
RNAcentral lists this ribosomal RNA (497 nucleotides) under uncultured bacterium. RNAcentral's name for it is "partial 16S ribosomal RNA". It matches the Rfam family "Bacterial small subunit ribosomal RNA", at positions 28 to 507 of the family's 1533-position model. The record is from RNAcentral.